RNAcentral lists this ribosomal RNA (496 nucleotides) under uncultured bacterium. Its description in RNAcentral is "partial 16S ribosomal RNA". It matches the Rfam family "Bacterial small subunit ribosomal RNA", at positions 28 to 506 of the family's 1533-position model. The record is from RNAcentral.
GAUGAACGCUGGCGGCGUGCCUAAUACAUGCAAGUCGAGCGAACAGACGAGGAGCUUGCUCCUCUGACGUUAGCGGCGGACGGGUGAGUAACACGUGGAUAACCUACCUAUAAGACUGGGAUAACUUCGGGAAACCGGAGCUAAUACCGGAUAAUAUAUUUAACCGCAUGGUUCAAUAGUGAAAGACGGUUUUGCUGUCACUUAUAGAUGGAUCCGCGCCGCAUUAGCUAGUUGGUAAGGUAACGGCUUACCAAGGCAACGAUGCGUAGCCGACCUGAGAGGGUGAUCGGCCACACUGGAACUGAGACACGGUCCAGACUCCUACGGGAGGCAGCAGUAGGGAAUCUUCCGCAAUGGGCGAAAGCCUGACGGAGCAACGCCGCGUGAGUGAUGAAGGUCUUCGAAUCGUAAAACUCUGUUAUUAGGGAAGAACAAAUGUGUAAGUAACUAUGCACGUCUUGACGGUACCUAAUCAGAAAGCCACGGCUAACUACGU